Long non-coding RNA from Motacilla alba alba, 1735 nucleotides. RefSeq lists it as uncharacterized. The record is from RefSeq and is a predicted model, not a curated record. The transcript has 5 exons. NCBI's taxonomy places the organism in Eukaryota, Metazoa, Chordata, Aves, Passeriformes, Motacillidae.
CCUGACCAGAGUUGCUAGUUCUGUCUGCUAAAAAGGUUUAAAAAAUUAUACUCAACUCCAAAGAGCAGCCAGAGAGAGCACGAGAUGAAGCUGCACGUGAGUUUCUUGCUGUAUUUUACACUCUGCUCUUGGUUGCUGCUCUGCUGCAGCCCUGUCUGACACCUCAGCAUGCCAGCUGCCCUCAUUUUGCACAACAACCAUGUCCCAAUUACUGCAGUUGAUGUUGUGAUGCUGUUUAUAUCUGUUUUCUGGCUGGGAACUCAGAGGCAUCACCUUUCCUCAGGUCUGUGCCUGGUGACUCUGGGCUGGAGUGUUCUGCUGUGGCUGGACAGUCCCAGCCCCCAGUAUUUGUCUUUUGCCAGUCUCCCCCUCUCACCCUGCAGGCACUUAGAAGAGGAUCCGAUCGCAGCUGAAUUGUACAAGCCUGCUUCUUACUACAUUAAAUGACAGCAAGGUUUCUGCCACUUCUGAUGGCAAGACAAUUCUUUGUUUGGUAAAUAUUGAGAGCUGUCUGUCCUUGGUGUGUGCUUAGAACAAACUGCAGGUGCUCUACAGAUGGAGACCAUUUGAUGUCCUCUGCAUCAGGACUUGCAUUUGACAGAUGAAGGGCAGGAUGAAGAAGCACCAGAGAGGCAAUCAAUCACCUCCUUGCUCAGUUACAGCUGCCUUUGGACCAGGGCUGACAUCUGGAAGCACCCACACCACUUAAGCCUGCUCUCUCCCAGGGCCCUGCCUUUGCAUGAGGUUUUGAUUUACUGUUUACUAUUUCAGGCUUGUAACAAGUAGGCAUCCCAAAGCCUUUUAGACACACUUACUGUCUGAGUCAGAUAGUCCAAGAGGUCAUGUACAGAUUGAGACUGAACAGUGAAACAUCUGCAUACGCUUAACCUUGCUUCACUUCUGGCAUUGCUCUUGAGUGUUAUUUGGGCUUUGAUCAGACCUAUUUAUUCAGCCCAAGAUCUUUCCUGUUCCUUAAUAUCCUUUCACAUGCCUGCUUCUCCAGACUCUGGAGUCUCCCCGUGUUUCUGAAGUCAGGUUUUGCAUCUGCCUUUUCACUUUUAAUCCAAAAUGGCCAGUGGGAACAGCAUGUUUUUGUAACUGUAGGUCCUCUUUGUCAAGGGGUUAGUUGACAAGACAAUACAUAUACCCUCAGGAGCUGAUCUGUUUGUCAGACUCGAAAAACUGGUUCAUCUCAACAAUAGCCAUUUCUUUGUGCAAGGGACUCUGUCUGAAUGACAUGGGCAAUUAUCUAUUUAGAGUGCAAAUAACCUCCAUUUUCAUAACACAUUUUGCAGCUGUGCAAAACCAACCCAUGGUACAUAGAUUCCCAAAACAUGGAACCUGGCUUUUAUUGCCCUGUUAACUGUUUACCAGCAUCUUUGUCUCAUGAGCUAUGGACUUUUCUGCCCUGGGUGUGCUGAAAAACAGCACACGCUUCAGGCUCCUAAGAAGUUUCUAAAUUGAGCACUAGAUAUUUUUAUCAAAGACCAGAGUCAAACUUAAAUCUUUCACUAGUAGACGGAAGCCUCUUAGGAAUGAAAUUUACAAUGCCAAGAUUUCUCUAUAUGCAUAUAUCCCUUACGAUACUGUCCUAACUAGAAGCUGCUAUAAUUCAUUUUAUUUUGCAGAGCUUUCUGGUGAAUUAUUUUCUUUCUCAGUAAUUUCUCCGUUUAGGAACCCUCCUGAGAAAUCUUUGCUGUAUUAGCUUGAGCUUUGCGGCAUCUUUAUCUUUAAA